AUAGCUAACAAAGACAGGUAAACAUUACACAUUAAUUGAUGUUCAUUCUUGCAUGAAUUACUGUUCCUGCAUGUAAAUUAAAUGUUGUCAGAUUAUUGAACAGGAGCAUGAAUUUUAUGUUGUAUAAAUGUUUCUUUGUGUUUUCCCUCAUUACAAAACACCUAUUGAGCCAACUGUCCUUAUAUUAUCUGUUAGUGGGCUAUGUAUAAUAUGGUUAGGUAAAUAUCUUCAAAAAAGCUCUUCAUGACUUUCACAACAUAGAUCUUUAGUCAUGACUUUCACAACAUAGAUCUUUAGUCAUCCAUGCCACUAUUAUUUCACUUGAGGUGCUCUUACUACAGUUGAUAAAUAAAUUUUCCUUGGAUUAGUUAUGCUGUAAAAUCAGAAAAUUUUUGCAAAGUUUUAUAAUUGCAAAUAUGAAAACUUACAUUUCAGAUUUUGAAAGCAUUAUUUUUAUACAGCAUCUUCUGAAAUCGUAAUAGUAAAUUUUUCAUUUUGUCCAUAGUCAGUAAACACAACGAUGCAUGCUGCUGCUGCUGCUGCUGCUCACAAAAUUCUGAAUUUUCGGUUUACUUACGUUUUCAAUGUUGUUUUAAAAAGGGAAACGGCUUGAAAUAUUUUUUUCUUUUUGCCCAGGACAAAAUUUCUUAUUUCAAAGUUAUUACACCAUAAAGGAAUCAGUUAUUAUUCCAAAUGUAUAAAAAUUAUUGCCAGUCUAUUUAAUAGUUUCUGUUGAAUUUACAGAAAGAAAAAGACAUAUUAGGAUACCAUGGUAACAUGACUUUCAACGUAACUUCUGAUAUUUUAUUUCAGAGUGCAUUAUUUGACAUACUGACAACGUCUAAUGAUAAAGCAGAUUAUAUCCAUAUUGGAUACAUAUUUUAGGGGAAAAAAUUAUAACUCACAUUUAACUUGGAAAAAAGUACAGUUAUUUUCAAUUUAAGAUUUCCAAUGCAUAAAAAUUUCCAUAUCCUCAUUUUGCAAUCAUUACCUUUGGUAUAUGGAUUCGGUUUAAUUCAUCUUAAAAUAACAGAGAGGGAGUCAAAAUGAGAAAAAAUGUAAAUUAAUCUUUUGUCAGUAUGUCUUUCUAAACCUUUGUUUAUGUUGUUUGUAGAACUGUGUAUAAUGUAAACAUAUAUUUUGUAGAAAACUAUUGUUAUUCAUUCUCUUUUAUUUACUCUUUCAAAUUUCAGGUUUUUAUUUCAGAAAAUUGAUUUUUCUAUUUUCUAUCUGUAAAUAUGUUGGUACUGACUACUCAUUUGCUUUUUACUUAUGAAAUAGAUCUUCAAUAGUUUCUUUUUUCUUUACUUCAUAAAACAUAUUCUAUUGUUUUGUUUAUUUUGCUCAUUUUAAGAUAUACUAUUCUAGAGAAACAAUAACUAAAUUCACCAAACUUGUAAUUUAUUUGUAAAUAGAAGAUCAUCACAUUUUAAUUUCAGUACCAAGUUUGGUUUUAAUUUGAUCUGGUUAGGUGGUAUUUAUUUUUUUGGAGGGGGGGGGGGGGGUUAAUAUGCUUUGGCACAUCCAAAAUUUUUAUUUGUAUAAAAUCAUAUCACAGAGAUAUUUUGUGUUUUAUUUCUUCCUAAAUCAUAUGAGUUACGAAAUUUCAUACCAAUAGUAAAUUCUUCAUUCAUGUGUAUUUCUAUUAUGGACAUUGCAUUGUAGUUUAUAAUUAAACAAAUGGCUUAAAAUUAAAAAAAAAAAUCUAAGCUAGAAGUUUUAUCUAAAAAAUCAAUUCACUAUGAAAAUAUAUUUAAACGAUUGAGAUGGAAUCUAAAAAAUCUUUACAAAAUGCAACAGUCACAAAAAGCAUAAAAAUCAUGAAGUUACUCACUGCUUAAAUCAUUUAUAUUUAUCUGCCCUAAACUGCAUUGAAAUUAUAAACUAAUAUGUAUUUAUUACCUAUACUAUGAUUAAUUGAGAUACUCUAAUACAUGUUCAAUAUAUCCCUUUUUCAAAAGAUUUGUUUUGGAAAUUUAAAGAACCUGAGCAACUUAACAAAUUCUUGUAAAUUAACAGAAAGGGAUUAAUAGUAUGAUAUUUGUUGAUUUUAUUAUGUUAAUUCUUGAGUGCAUUAUAGCUUAUUUUUUGUUUCUCUUCAGAUGGUUACAAUGGAAGUCAAAACUUAUGUAUAUUCUAUGGCAAAUUCGUUCACGAAAGCAACUGGAAACAGAAAAUUCUGGUUCCCCAAGACCAGCAAAGCCACCACCAACAGGAACUGUUUGAAAAACAAUUAUAUAUUGUAUAAGAUACCACCGUUUAAGUUCCUUUCUGUUAUUUGUAUUUUGUAUUUUUGGCACAACACCAAUUUGUCACACAAAUCUGGAAAGAAGAUCCUAUCAAAUACUUUCAUUAAAAUGAUAUUUUGAUUGAAACAUUUGUAAUAACUAUAUAUAUAUUUUUAUAAAACUCUUUAAAUAAUCCUGUUUCUUUCACAUAUCAUACCGAAACGUUUAAUUUGGAUUUUCAAAAUUUAAAAUUUCUAUUGAACUUUCUUUUAUUCAAAUAACAAAAUUGCUGUAUAACUAGACAAUUAAAACUGGUAAUGAUAAGACAAAUUCAAUGGACACGUUGCUGUCAAUGAUUAUGGAUCAAAGAAUAUUUGUAAAUUCAAAAGAUUUACCCUUUUCCUAUCACUAAUUUUAAAAUCAAACAUUCCUGCUUUUUAUAACGAAGAUUUUGCUUUAUUGAGGAGGGGUCAGAUAUUUAAGAACAAUUCCUUGUAUGUAACUGCUUUGUAUUUAAAACUCAGUUAUUCAUUAUUGUUAUGAAGAUUGUCACAUAUAAAUGACCUAUAUGAAUGUGUGCAUUUGAAGUAUGUAUGUUAAAAAUUGGGCAACCAUGAUUUUAUUGCAUGGAUCAUCAUUUUAGUAUUGGUGAUGGAUGAUUAUUAUUUCCAGAAUUAAAAGGAAGUGUUAUUAAGUUUUUAUCAACAUAUAUAAAAUUUUUGUUUU
RNAcentral lists this long non-coding RNA (2954 nucleotides) under Mytilus galloprovincialis (Mediterranean mussel). The record is from RNAcentral. Lineage: Eukaryota; Metazoa; Mollusca; Bivalvia; Mytilida; Mytilidae.